GUAGGGUGCGAGCGUUAUCCGGAAUCAUUGGGCGUAAAGAGCUCGUAGGCGGUUCAGCAAGUCGGCUGUGAAAUUCCGAGGGCUCAACCUCGGAACUGCAGUCGAUACUGUUGUGACUCGAGUCCGGUAGAGGAGAAUGGAAUUCCCGGUGUAGCGGUGAAAUGCGCAGAUAUCGGGAGGAACACCAGUAGCGAGGGCGGUUCUCUGGGCCGGCACUGACGCUGAGGAGCGAAAGCGUGGGUAGCAAACAGGAUUAGAUACCCUGGUAGUCCACGCCGUAAACGUUGGAUACUAGGUGUGGCGUUCCGACCAACGGUCGCCGUGCCGAAGCUAACGCAUUAAGUAUCCCGCCUGGGGAGUACGGCCGCAAGGCUA
RNAcentral lists this ribosomal RNA (375 nucleotides) under uncultured organism. Its description in RNAcentral is "partial 16S ribosomal RNA". It matches the Rfam family "Bacterial small subunit ribosomal RNA", at positions 527 to 896 of the family's 1533-position model. The record is from RNAcentral.